AGUCGAGCGCACCCUUCGGGGCGAGCGGCGGACGGGUUAGUAACGCGUGGGAACAUACCCUUUUCUAUGGAAUAGCCUUUGGAAACGAAGAGUAAUACCAUAUACGCCCUUCGGGGGAAAGAUUUAUCGGAGAGGGAUUGGCCCGCGUAAGAUUAGAUAGUUGGUGGGGUAAUGGCCUACCAAGUCUACGAUCUUUAGCUGGUUUUAGAGGAUGAUCAGCAACACUGGGACUGAGACACGGCCCAGACUCCUACGGGAGGCAGCAGUGGGGAAUAUUCGGCAAUGGGGGCAACCCUGACCGAGCCAUGCCGCGUGUGUGAUGAAGGCCCUAGGGUUGUAAAGCACUUUCAACGGUGAAGAUAAUGACGGUAACCGUAGAAGAAGCUCCGGCUAACUUCGUGCCAGCAGCCGCGGUAAUACGAAGGGAGCUAGCGUUGUUCGGAAUUACUGGGCGUAAAGCGCGCGUAGGCGGACUGAUCAGUCAGGGGUGAAAUCCCGGGGCUCAACCCCGGAACUGCCUUUGAUACUGUCAGUCUAGAGUCCGGAAGAGGUGAAUGGAACUCCUAGUGUAGAGGUGAAAUUCGUAGAUAUUAGUGAAGAACACCAGUGGCGAAGGCGA
RNAcentral lists this ribosomal RNA (619 nucleotides) under uncultured bacterium. Its description in RNAcentral is "bacterial SSU rRNA". It matches the Rfam family "Bacterial small subunit ribosomal RNA", at positions 60 to 724 of the family's 1533-position model. The record is from RNAcentral.